This 663-nucleotide long non-coding RNA is filed under the name Mytilus galloprovincialis (Mediterranean mussel). Lineage: Eukaryota; Metazoa; Mollusca; Bivalvia; Mytilida; Mytilidae. The record is from RNAcentral.
UUUUUCAAAAGUGUAUUUAAGAAUAAUAAUUUUACCACACUUUGAAAUAAUGGUUAUAUUUUGUUAUUUUAUUGAACAGAAAAAGUAUACUACUUAAAAAUAAAGGUACUAGUUUAAGGCACCAGAUGAUAAUGUUGAUAGAACAUGCCACAAAUAAAGAUAUGAAUGGGGAAUAGGUUAUAUAGGGAAAACUUGAUUUUUCAGUAAGAAUAGGUUAUAUAGAGAAAACUUGAUUUUUCAAUAAGAAUAGGUAGGCAAAUUUGUUUUUUUUCAGUAAGAGAAAAAAAUUGAAGGAUAGAAUUUGUUAAAAUUAAAGGAGAUAAUUGCUUUUCUUAGAUACAUCCAAAAAUAUCAAAUAACAAUGGAAAGGGGGAGGGGGCUUGUUUUGUUGCAAAUCCUCAAAACACAGAUAGUCUAAUUGAAUUAAGUAUAAUCAUCUGACUUUGAUUUUACCAGGAUAUUUUAUUAAAAUUUUAAAUGAAAUUAACCACAAUUAAGUAAGCAACAAUCAAUGAAGCCUUGGUAUAUAGCAUGCUACCAAUGUGUUAUUUUGAAUAAAGGUGAUUGCUAUGCCAGCUUUUAAUUAAUUACCUCAAAACCUUAAUGAUCUUCACUUAAACAUAUCAAGAUCAUAGAAAACAUAAAUUUCUUUGUUAAUUCACU